UCCGGGCCCUCGGGCCGUCGUCAGCCCUCUCCAUGAGGCUGCUGGCUUUGGUCCGCGCGACACCGACGCGGGGAGCGCGCUUCGCGCUGACUCAGCGGCGACGGCCGUGGCGGCGUUAGCCGGCCCUCACGCUCUUAUCCUUCCUGGGGCGCCAACCCCGCCCGCCAGCUUGCUAGCUUGCUAGCUUGCCUGCCCGGCGCCACGCAAGAGAAGGCGCCAGGAGACGCAGAGCGGCGAGAGGCGCGCGGCCCCGGCCAGCUCCGUCUCCAGCGUUAGCGCCGCGGCCGUGGCGGAGGACGACGAGGACGAGGGCCGCUCUUCUCGCUCCCUGCUUGCGGCGCGGCUCCACUGACCGGCCCUCGGGAGUGCAGGCGGGCAGGCGGGAUGGAGUGAUAGGGAAGAUGUUUGUGGAUUCUUCUGUGGGAUUAGAGGGCACGCCUAUUGUAAUCAGAAAACUCCAAGUAUAGCAGCAGGAAUGGAUGAACAGGCUCUCUUAGGUCUAAAUCCAAAUGCUGAUUCAGACUUCAGACAAAGGGCCCUGGCCUAUUUUGAACAGUUAAAGAUUUCCCCAGAUGCCUGGCAGGUGUGUGCAGAAGCUCUGGCUCAGAGGACAUACAGUGAUGAUCAUAUUAAGUUUUUCUGCUUCCAAGUACUGGAACAUCAAGUUAAAUACAAAUAUUCAGAACUAACCACUGUUCAACAACAACUAAUUAGAGAGACGCUCGUAUCUUGGCUUCAAGCUCAGAUGCUGAAUCCCCAACCAGAGAAGACCUUCAUACGAAAUAAAGCUGCCCAAGUCUUCGCCUUGCUUUUUGUUACAGAAUAUCUCACUAAAUGGCCCAAAUUUUUUUUUGACAUUCUCUCAGUAGUGGACCUAAAUCCAAGGGGAGUAGAUCUGUACCUCCGAAUUCUCAUGGCUAUUGAUUCAGAGUUGGUGGAUCGUGAUGUGGUUCACACCUCAGAGGAGGCUCGUAGGAAUACUCUCAUAAAGGAUACCAUGAGGGAACAGUGCAUUCCAAACUUGGUGGAAUCAUGGUACCAAAUCCUACAAAAUUAUCAGUAUACCAAUUCAGAAGUGACAUGCCAGUGCCUUGAAGUAGUUGGGGCUUAUGUCUCUUGGAUAGACUUAUCCCUUAUAGCCAAUGAUAGGUUUAUAAAUAUGCUGCUAGGUCAUAUGUCAAUAGAAGUUCUACGGGAAGAAGCAUGUGAUUGUUUAUUUGAAAUUGUAAAUAAAGGAAUGGAUCCUGUUGAUAAAAUGAAACUGGUAGAAUCUUUGUGUCAAGUGUUACAGUCUGCUGGGUUUUUCAGCAUUGACCGGGAAGAAGAUGUUGACUUCCUAGCCAGAUUUUCUAAACUGGUCAAUGGAAUGGGACAGUCAUUGAUAGUUAGCUGGACUAAAUUAAUCAAAAAUGGAGAUAUCAAAAAUGCUCAGGAGGCACUGCAAGCUAUUGAAACAAAGGUGGCGCUGAUGUUGCAGCUCCUAAUUCAUGAGGAUGAUGACAUCUCUUCUAACAUUAUUGGAUUUUGUUACGAUUAUCUUCAUAUUUUGAAACAGCUUACAGUGCUUUCAGAUCAACAAAAAGCUAAUGUAGAGGCAAUCAUGUUGGCCGUUAUGAAAAAAUUAACUUACGAUGAAGAAUAUAACUUUGAAAAUGAGGGUGAAGACGAAGCCAUGUUUGUAGAAUAUAGAAAACAACUGAAGUUAUUGUUGGACAGGCUGGCUCAAGUUUCACCAGAGUUACUGCUGGCUUCUGUUCGCAGAGUGUUCAGUUCUACACUGCAGAACUGGCAGACUACACGGUUUAUGGAAGUUGAAGUGGCAAUAAGAUUGCUGUAUAUGUUGGCAGAAGCUCUUCCAGUAUCCCAUGGUGCUCACUUCUCAGGUGAUGUUUCAAAAGCUAGUGCUUUGCAGGAUAUGAUGCGCACUCUGGUGACAUCAGGAGUUAGUUCCUAUCAGCACACAUCUGUGACAUUGGAGUUCUUCGAAACGGUUGUUAGAUACGAAAAGUUUUUCACAGUUGAACCUCAGCACAUUCCAUGUGUACUAAUGGCUUUCUUAGAUCACAGGGGUCUGCGGCACUCUAGUGCUAAAGUCCGGAGCAGAACUGCUUACCUAUUCUCCAGAUUUGUUAAAUCUCUCAAUAAACAAAUGAAUCCUUUCAUUGAGGAUAUUCUGAAUAGAAUACAAGAUUUAUUAGAGCUUUCUCCACCUGAGAAUGGUUACCAGUCCUUGUUGAGCAGCGACGAUCAAUUAUUUAUCUAUGAGACAGCUGGAGUGCUAAUUGUUAAUAGUGAGUAUCCAGCAGAGCGGAAGCAGGCAUUAAUGAGGAAUCUGUUGACUCCACUCAUGGAGAAGUUUAAAAUUCUGUUAGAAAAAUUGAUGCUGGCACAGGACGAAGAAAGGCAGGCAUCUCUAGCAGACUGUCUCAACCAUGCUGUUGGAUUUGCUAGUCGAACCAGCAAAGCUUUCAGCAACAAGCAGACUGUGAAGCAGUGUGGCUGCUCGGAAGUUUACCUGGACUGUUUACAGACAUUCUUGCCAGCUCUCAGCUGUCCCUUACAAAAGGAUGUUCUCAGAAGUGGGGUCCGCACUUUCCUUCACCGCAUGAUUAUUUGCCUGGAGGAAGAAGUCCUUCCCUUCAUUCCAUCCGCUUCAGAACACAUGCUCAAAGACUGUGAAGCAAAGGACCUCCAGGAAUUCAUCCCUCUCAUCAACCAGAUCACAGCCAAAUUUAAGAUACAGGUAUCCCCAUUUUUACAACAAAUGUUCAUGCCUCUUCUUCAUGCAAUUUUUGAAGUUUUGCUCCGACCAGCAGAAGAAAAUGACCAAUCUGCUGCUUUAGAGAAGCAGAUGUUGCGGAGGAGUUACUUUGCUUUCCUGCAAACAGUCACAGGCAGUGGAAUGAGUGAAGUCAUAGCAAAUCAAGGUGCAGAGAAUGUAGAACGAGUGCUGGUUACUGUUAUUCAAGGAGCAGUCGAAUAUCCAGAUCCCAUUGCUCAGAAAACAUGUUUUAUUAUCCUUUCCAAGUUGGUAGAACUCUGGGGAGGUAAAGAUGGACCAGUGGGAUUUGCUGAUUUUGUUUAUAAGCACAUUGUCCCCGCAUGUUUCCUAGCACCUUUAAAACAAACCUUUGACCUGGCAGAUGCACAAACAGUAUUGGCUUUAUCUGAGUGUGCGGUGACACUGAAAACAAUUCAUCUCAAACGGGGCCCAGAAUGUGUUCAGUAUCUUCAACAGGAAUACCUGCCUUCCUUGCAAGUAGCUCCAGAGAUAAUUCAGGCCAAGCUCACCUGUGCUUAGCUUGUGAAUUUGAAAUCAUAUUUUGAGGUAAGUGGCACAUCAUUUUUAUGAUGGCAUUCAGUUGUUUUCUGAGCAUCUAGUUAUCCAGACCUCUUGUGCAGUAGCACAUAGUUCUAACGAGCUAUCAGAGUCCCGAUUGAAACUCGAGUUAGGAUCUCUUGUGUAGAUUCUAAGGAUUGUUUCUUCAUCAAUAGUAUUUUAUAAUGCUGUUUGUAAGAGGCACUGGAAAAACUGAGUGAAAGAUAGACCUCACAUAAGAGUGCUCACAAAAUUCAUUUUUAAUGAAUUUAUGAUCUCUAGUUUUAUGACAUAUCUUUAACUUGGAUAUUAAUUUUCUCACUUACCAUUUGUUAGAUAAGUAAAUUAAUAUUUUAUAAAAACUAUGUUACUAAUUACUUAUGAUCUUAAUGCAUCAGAAACAGAAGUAUACCAUUCAAUUUUGAAUAGCUCAAAUAGUUUCCUAUUCCUAAACAAAGCUAUAUAUAUAUAUAUAUAUUUCUGUCUAAUAAUUUGCUUGUAAAAGAUAAUGAUUCCCAGUUUUCCUUUUCUCGUAUGCCAUCUGACUGCGCCUCUUGCACAGCUCUAUUGGAGAGAAUUUUCUCUUUCUCAUUUGCUCUGGCUCCUCACAGUUACCCUUUUGCUAGAUGAGAGCAGCUAUAACCAUGUAAUCUCUGUCCCACUCGCCCUUCUGAGGCAAGAGUCAGUCUGCCCCAGAACAGCUGUGUUCUCUAGAGUGAAAACAGCCUGGCUGAAAAGCAUUACCUUUGGAAAUGUCAUAUAACCUUUUUGGAGUUUUGUCAAGCCCUUCAGCAGCCUGAUGCUAAAGUUUUUAAAAACUACUUAAAGGUGUUCUUCCAGAGAGCAAAGCCCUGAGGACUAGAUCUCCCCGUGCCUACUUCAUGAUCAGGAAUUCCAGUUAAUAAUUUAUAAAGAAACAAUUUUUUGUGUGCCGUUCACACUGGUCUUUUUAACAUUGCUUUGAGCUUAUUGCAGUAUAUGUAUUGGGAUUUUUUUCUGUAAAAUGGGUGUAAUUUUCCCUAAAUUACAGGUAUGUGACAACAUAGAGAAGUUGCAUGCCAAUUAAAUCGUUCUAUAUAAAAAGGCUGUUGUAAGAUACAGCAGAGUUAUCCUAGUACCUUUUUUUUUAACUUGAAACUUUUAAGUCCUUUAUAAAGACCAUAGCAAGAAAGCAGUGUACUUCUUUUUCAUUACUGAAUAUAAAAUGUUUGAAAAUUUAAAUUUUUGUUUUAUGUGUGCAGACUCAUAAACUGUUUCAUUUAUGUGUGCAGACUCAUAAAAAAGUGGGGGGAAUAAAAUCAAAAUUAACUUUUUUGUAGAUAGCUAUUACAUUUCCUUAAACUGUUUCAAUGCCAAUGUGUAUUCUACAAAACAGAAUGGUUUCAUAAAUUAACUGAUUGAAGAGUAGGUGCUGGUGUUAUACAUUUUUUAUAAAAAAAAAAAGCAAAUAAAUUUUACGUAGUGAAAUACA
Molecule: RNA transcript, 4790 nt
Organism: Dama dama (fallow deer)
Lineage: Eukaryota; Metazoa; Chordata; Mammalia; Artiodactyla; Cervidae
Gene: XPOT
Gene name: exportin for tRNA
Exons: 26
Source: RefSeq, a predicted model, not a curated record